ACGGAAGGCAGCAGUGGGGAAUAUUGCGCGAUGGGGGAAACCCUGACGCAGCAAUACCGCGUGAGUGAAGAAGGUUUUCGGAUCGUAAAACUCUUUUAUUGGGGAAGAAAAUGACGGUACCCAAUGAAGAAGUCCCGGCUAACUACGUGCCAGCAGCCGCGGUAAUACGUAGGGGACAAGCGUUGUCCGGAAUGACUGGGCGUAAAGGGCGCGUAGGCGGGAUGUUAAGUCUGAUGUGAAAGGUUACGGCUCAACCGUAGACAUGCAUUGGAAACUGGCAUUCUUGAGUACUGGAGAGGCAAGUGGAAUUCCUAGUGUAGCGGUGAAAUGCGUAGAUAUUAGGAAGAACACCAGUGGCGAAGGCGGUUAGCUGGACAAUAACUGACGCUGAGGCGCGAAAGCGUGGGUAGCAAACAGGAUUAGAUACCCUGGUA
RNAcentral lists this ribosomal RNA (434 nucleotides) under uncultured Pseudoramibacter sp. Its description in RNAcentral is "partial 16S ribosomal RNA". It matches the Rfam family "Bacterial small subunit ribosomal RNA", at positions 341 to 792 of the family's 1533-position model. Lineage: Bacteria; Bacillati; Bacillota; Clostridia; Eubacteriales; Eubacteriaceae. The record is from RNAcentral.